CCUACGGGAGGCAGCAGUAAGGAAUAUUGGACAAUGGUGGCAACACUGAUCCAGCCAUGCCGCGUGCAGGAUGACGGUUCUAUGAAUUGUAAACUGCUUUUAUACGGGAAAAACCCUCAAGACGUGAUUUUGAGCUGAUUGUACCGUAAGAAUAAGGAUCGGCUAACUUCGUGCCAGCAGCCGCGGUAAGACGAAGGAUCCAAGCGUUAUCCGGAUUUAUUGGGUUUAAAGGGUGCGUAGGCGGACUCAUAAGUCAGUGGUGAAAUCCCAAAGCUUAACUUUGGAACUGCCAUUGAUACUGUAAGUCUUGAGUAUGUUUGAAGUGGGCGGAAUGUAUUGUGUAGCGGUGAAAUGCUUAGAUAUAAUACAGAACACCAAUUGCGAAGGCAGCUCACUAAACCAUAACUGACGCUGAGGCACGAAAGCAUGGGGAGCAAACAGGAUUAGAUACCCUGGUAGUCCAUNCCUAACGACUAGAUACUACGAUAUGUGCGAUAUACUAGUACGUGU
Molecule: ribosomal RNA, 510 nt
Filed under: uncultured bacterium
Lineage: Bacteria
Description: bacterial SSU rRNA
Rfam family: Bacterial small subunit ribosomal RNA
Source: RNAcentral